This 75-nucleotide transfer RNA is filed under the name Acidobacteriota bacterium. RNAcentral describes it as "tRNA-Asn". It matches the Rfam family "tRNA". Rfam says of the family: Transfer RNA (tRNA) molecules are approximately 80 nucleotides in length. Their secondary structure includes four short double-helical elements and three loops (D, anti-codon, and T loops). The record is from RNAcentral. RNAcentral also lists the same sequence under 2 other names. Lineage: Bacteria; Pseudomonadati; Acidobacteriota.
UCCGCAGUAGCUCAAUGGUAGAGCAUUCGGCUGUUAACCGAAGGGUUGGGGGUUCGAGUCCCUCCUGCGGAGCCA